RNAcentral lists this ribosomal RNA (770 nucleotides) under bacterium. RNAcentral's name for it is "partial 16S ribosomal RNA". It matches the Rfam family "Bacterial small subunit ribosomal RNA", at positions 34 to 814 of the family's 1533-position model. The record is from RNAcentral.
GGCAGGCGGCUGCUUACCAUGCAGUCGAACGGCAGCACGGGAGCAAUCCUGGUGGCGAGUGGCGAACGGGUGAGUAAUACAUCGGAACGUGUCCUGGAGUGGGGGAUAGCCCGGCGAAAGCCGGAUUAAUACCGCAUACGCUCUAUGGAGGAAAGCGGGGGAUCUUCGGACCUCGCGCUCAAGGGGCGGCCGAUGGCGGAUUAGCUAGUUGGUGGGGUAAAGGCCUACCAAGGCGACGAUCCGUAGCUGGUCUGAGAGGACGACCAGCCACACUGGGACUGAGACACGGCCCAGACUCCUACGGGAGGCAGCAGUGGGGAAUUUUGGACAAUGGGGGAAACCCUGAUCCAGCAAUGCCGCGUGUGUGAAGAAGGCCUUCGGGUUGUAAAGCACUUUUGUCCGGAAAGAAAUCCUUUGGGCUAAUACCCCGGGGGGAUGACGGUACCGGAAGAAUAAGCACCGGCUAACUACGUGCCAGCAGCCGCGGUAAUACGUAGGGUGCGAGCGUUAAUCGGAAUUACUGGGCGUAAAGCGUGCGCAGGCGGUUCGCUAAGACCGAUGUGAAAUCCCCGGGCUUAACCUGGGAACUGCAUUGGUGACUGGCGGGCUAGAGUAUGGCACAGGGGGGUAGAAUUCCACGUGUAGCAGUGAAAUGCGUAGAGAUGUGGAGGAAUACCGAUGGCGAAGGCAGCCCCCUGGGCCAAUACUGACGCUCAUGCACGAAAGCGUGGGGAGCAAACAGGUAAACCCCCCCGGGGGAAAAAAAAAAC